UACGUAGGAUGCAAGCGUUAUCCGGAUUCAUUGGGUUUAAAGGGUGCGUAGGCGGGAUUGUAAGUCAAAGGUGAAAGCCUAUAGCUUAACUAUAGAAGUGCCUUUGAUACUGCAAUUCUUGAGUACAGUUGAGGUGGGCGGAAUGUGUAAUGUAGCGGUGAAAUGCAUAGAUAUUACACAGAACACCGAUUGCGAAGGCAGCUCACUAAGCUGUUACUGACGCUGAGGCACGAAAGCGUGGGGAG
This 245-nucleotide ribosomal RNA is filed under the name uncultured bacterium. Its description in RNAcentral is "partial 16S ribosomal RNA". It matches the Rfam family "Bacterial small subunit ribosomal RNA", at positions 524 to 768 of the family's 1533-position model. The record is from RNAcentral.